Molecule: non-coding RNA, 74 nt
Organism: Podarcis lilfordi (Lilford's wall lizard)
Lineage: Eukaryota; Metazoa; Chordata; Lepidosauria; Squamata; Lacertidae
Source: the annotation of a GenBank genome assembly
GGUUCAGUGUGGCGUAAUGGUUAGAGUGUUGGACUGGGACUUAGGAGAACAGGGUUCAAAUCCCUGCUCAGCCA